AUCAAUAAGCGGAGGAAAAGAAACCAACAGGGAUUGCCCCAGUAACGGCGAGUGAAGCGGCAACAGCUCAAAUNUGAAAUCUGGCCCUAGGCCCGAGUUGUAAUUUGCAGAGGAUGCUUUUGGCGCGGUGCCUUCCGAGUUCCCUGGAACGGGACGCCAUAGAGGGUGAGAGCCCCGUACGGUUGGACACCAAGUCUUUGUAAAGCUCCUUCGACGAGUCGAGUAGUUUGGGAAUGCUGCUCAAAAUGGGAGGUAUAUUUCUUCUAAAGCUAAAUAUUGGCCAGAGACCGAUAGCGCACAAGUAGAGUGAUCGAAAGAUGAAAAGCACUUUGAAAAGAGGGUUAAACAGCACGUGAAAUUGUUAAAAGGGAAGCGCUUGUGACCAGACUUGCGUCCGGUGAAUCACCCAGCUCUCGCGGCUGGGGCAUUUUGCCGGCUCAGGCCAGCAUCAGCUUGCCGUCGGGGACAAAAGCUUCGGGAACGUAGCUCUCUUCGGGGAGUGUUAUAGCCCGUUGCAUAAUACCCUUCGGUGGGCUGAGGUACGCGCUCCGCAAGGAUGCUGGCGUAAUGGUCAUCAGCGACCCGUCUUGAAACACGGACCAAGGAGUCAACCUUAUGUGCGAGUGUUUGGGUGUUAAACCCCUACGCGUAAUGAAAGUGAACGCAGGUGAGAGCUUCGGCGCAUCAUCGACCGAUCCUGAUGUUCUCGGAUGGAUUUGAGUAAGAGCAUAUAGGGUUGGACCCGAAAGAAGGUGAACUAUGCGUGUAUAGGGUGAAGCCAGAGGAAACUCUGGUGGAGGCUCGCAGCGGUUCUGACGUGCAAAUCGAUCGUCAAAUAUGCGCAUGGGGGCGAAAGACUAAUCGAACCUUCUAGUAGCUGGUUUC
RNAcentral lists this small RNA (885 nucleotides) under Colletotrichum sp. 3 NVL-2017. RNAcentral describes it as "eukaryotic LSU rRNA". It matches the Rfam family "Eukaryotic large subunit ribosomal RNA", at positions 42 to 958 of the family's 3401-position model. The record is from RNAcentral. Lineage: Eukaryota; Fungi; Ascomycota; Sordariomycetes; Glomerellales; Glomerellaceae.